AGUAGAGACAGGGUUUCACCAUGUUGGCCAAGAUGAUCUCGAUCUCUUGACCUAGUGAUCUGCCCGCCUCAGCCUCCCAAAGUGAGCUAAUCAUUCUUGUAGGCUCAUUAAUGGGUCAUUAUCAUCAUUGGUCUGUGCAAGACUCCUCUCUUGUUUUAUUUGUUUAUUCCUUUUCAUCUUCAUGACUCACUUCCUUUAUCCUUGUUUCUGUUCCUUCCUACAGACAAAUAUUCUAACAUUUAAUGUGUAUGUGUAUUUGCACAAAUUCCUCACAUAUUGUGACAUGUAUGCAUGUAUUUAGUUCACGUAAAGAGUAUAUUAUAGGUUUCUCUAGGUUUUUUGCACAAUCAGCAUAAUGUGGUUUUGGGGCCCAUUCAUAUCACUGUGUGUUCUGUUGCUGUUAACAACUACACAUUGACUUGUAGGAGUUCCUUUAUGUUACAGACAUCAAUGUCAUGUCAACUUCAAACAAUGCAAAUAUCUUCUAUUCAGUCUGUUGUCUAUUAGCUUAGCCCAUGCUGUCCUUUAUUGAACAUAAAGUUUUAUAUAAUCAAAUUCAUUAAUUUUGCUUUGUAAUUUAUGCUAAGUUAUUUAAGAAGUCCUUUUUCCUAGAAAAUAAAAAUGUUCUCAUUUUUUUUCUGUAGACUUUAUCACAUAACUAUAUUUAGGUAUUUGAUCUCUUUGCAGUCCCUUUUGAGGAGGUGGUUGAAAUCCAGAAUUGUUGCCUCCAAGUAUGGAGCCACUUUUCUCCUUACUGUACUCUAAACAAUCCAUCCUUUUCUCAUUAAUUUAUAGUGCUACCUUUAUAUUAUAUCAGCUCAAUGUGUGUGUAUGUGUAUAUUAUGGCUGUUUUAUGUACAUUUGUGUAUGUCACUGAAUUCUCUGCUCUAUUCCAUUGAUCUAUUUAUCUGUUCUUAUACCAACACCACACUGUUUUUAUUAUUGAUAUUAUUAUAUUAUUGCUCUUAAUAUUAGAUUAUGUUUCAAUGUUCAGUAAUUAUUUUUGAUAUUACAAUGAACUCUUGAGCAUUAAAUUUUUUAAUCCAAUUAACUUGA
Molecule: long non-coding RNA, 1056 nt
Organism: Sapajus apella (tufted capuchin)
Lineage: Eukaryota; Metazoa; Chordata; Mammalia; Primates; Cebidae
Exons: 2
Source: RefSeq, a predicted model, not a curated record